This 560-nucleotide ribosomal RNA is filed under the name Escherichia coli. RNAcentral describes it as "partial 23S ribosomal RNA". It matches the Rfam family "Bacterial large subunit ribosomal RNA", at positions 1 to 591 of the family's 2925-position model. Lineage: Bacteria; Pseudomonadati; Pseudomonadota; Gammaproteobacteria; Enterobacterales; Enterobacteriaceae. The record is from RNAcentral.
GGGUUGUGAGGUUAAGCGACUAAGCGUACACGGUGGAUGCCCUGGCAGUCAGAGGCGAUGAAGGACGUGCUAAUCUGCGAUAAGCGUCGGUAAGGUGAUAUGAACCGUUAUAACCGGCGAUUUCCGAAUGGGGAAACCCAGUGUGAUUCGUCACACUAUCAUUAACUGAAUCCAUAGGUUAAUGAGGCGAACCGGGGGAAUUGAAACAUCUAAGUACCCCGAGGAAAAGAAAUCAACCGAGAUUCCCCCAGUAGCGGCGAGCGAACGGGGAGCAGCCCAGAGCCUGAAUCAGUGUGUGUGUUAGUGGAAGCGUCUGGAAAGGCGCGCGAUACAGGGUGACAGCCCCGUACACAAAAAUGCACAUGCUGUGAGCUCGAUGAGUAGGGCGGGACACGUGGUAUCCUGUCUGAAUAUGGGGGGACCAUCCUCCAAGGCUAAAUACUCCUGACUGACCGAUAGUGAACCAGUACCGUGAGGGAAAGGCGAAAAGAACCCCGGCGAGGGGAGUGAAAAAGAACCUGAAACCGUGUACGUACAAGCAGUGGGAGCACAGAGCAAUC